AUUGAACGCUGGCGGCAGGCCUAACACAUGCAAGUCGAGCGGAUGAAGGGAGCUUGCUCCUGGAUUCAGCGGCGGACGGGUGAGUAAUGCCUAGGAAUCUGCCUGGUAGUGGGGGAUAACGUCCGGAAACGGGCGCUAAUACCGCAUACGUCCUGAUGGAGAAAGUGGGGGAUCUUCGGACCUCACGCUACCAGAUGAGCCUAGGUCGGAUUAGCUAGUUGGUGGGGUAAAGGCCUACCAAGGCGACGAUCCGUAACUGGUCUGAGAGGAUGAUCAGUCACACUGGAACUGAGACACGGUCCAGACUCCUACGGGAGGCAGCAGUGGGGAAUAUUGGACAAUGGGCGAAAGCCUGAUCCAGCCAUGCCGCGUGUGUGAAGAAGGUCUUCGGAUUGUAAAGCACUUUAAGUUGGGAGGAAGAGCAGUAAGUUAAUACCUUGCUGUUUUGACGUUACCAACAGAAUAAGCACCGGCUAACCUCGUG
RNAcentral lists this ribosomal RNA (484 nucleotides) under uncultured bacterium. Its description in RNAcentral is "partial 16S ribosomal RNA". It matches the Rfam family "Bacterial small subunit ribosomal RNA", at positions 30 to 507 of the family's 1533-position model. The record is from RNAcentral.